This 262-nucleotide long non-coding RNA is filed under the name Amborella trichopoda. Its description in RNAcentral is "long non-coding RNA (ATRI_LNC004059)". Lineage: Eukaryota; Viridiplantae; Streptophyta; Magnoliopsida; Amborellales; Amborellaceae. The record is from RNAcentral.
AUCAUUGUUUCAACAUGCUAAUUUUUAUUCAUUUUUCUCUUGAAAAGAAUUUUCAUUCAUUUAGCACUUUUCCAUAAUUGGAAAAAUUAUUCAUGGAGAUCCUAUUAUUCUCUAUCGCCAUAGCAAAACAAACCACCAUUCUGAGAAUGAAUAAAAACAAUCAAUAUUCAAAGACACAUGCACAAUACAAGCAGUAAGAAAUCAGCCCAUUGAAGAAUAAUUCGUAAUAACUUGAGCACUACUUAUAUUCAACACUGAUGCA